Molecule: ribosomal RNA, 371 nt
Filed under: uncultured bacterium
Lineage: Bacteria
Description: bacterial SSU rRNA
Rfam family: Bacterial small subunit ribosomal RNA
Source: RNAcentral
GGGGGGGGCAAGCGUUGUUCGGAAUUACUGGGCGUAAAGGGCUCGUAGGCGGCCCUCUCAGUCGGAUGUGAAAUCCCCAGGCUUAACCUGGGAACGGCAUCCGAUACUGGAGGGCUUGAAUUCGGGAGAGGGAUGCAGAAUUCCAGGUGUAGCGGUGAAAUGCGUAGAUAUCUGGAGGAAUACCGGUGGCGAAGGCGGCAUCCUGGACCGAGAUUGACGCUGAGGAGCGAAAGCUAGGGGAGCAAACGGGAUUAGAUACCCCGGUAGUCCUAGCCCUAAACGAUGAAUGCUUGGUGUGACGGGUAUCGAUCCCUGUCGUGCCGAAGCUAACGCAUUAAGCAUUCCGCCUGGGGAGUACGGUCGCAAGGCUG